RNAcentral lists this ribosomal RNA (355 nucleotides) under uncultured Desulfobulbus sp. RNAcentral describes it as "bacterial SSU rRNA". It matches the Rfam family "Bacterial small subunit ribosomal RNA", at positions 1027 to 1382 of the family's 1533-position model. Lineage: Bacteria; Pseudomonadati; Thermodesulfobacteriota; Desulfobulbia; Desulfobulbales; Desulfobulbaceae. The record is from RNAcentral.
UCUGGAGACAGGUGCUGCAUGGCUGUCGUCAGCUCGUGUCGUGAGAUGUGGGUUAAGUCCCGCAACGAGCGCAACCCUUGCCUUUAGUUGCCAGCAGUUCGGCUGGGCACUCUAAAGGGACUGCCGGUGUUAAACCGGAGGAAGGUGGGGAUGACGUCAAGUCCUCAUGGCCUUUUAUGACCAGGGCUACACACGUACUACAAUGGCCGAUACAAAGGGCAGCGACACUGCGAGGUGAAGCCAAUCCCGUAAAAUCGGUCUCAGUCCGGAUUGGAGUCUGCAACUCGACUCCAUGAAGUUGGAAUCGCUAGUAAUCGUGGAUCAGCAUGCCACGGUGAAUACGUUCCCGGGCCUU